Girardinichthys multiradiatus is the source of this 897-nucleotide long non-coding RNA. RefSeq lists it as uncharacterized. The record is from RefSeq and is a predicted model, not a curated record. Lineage: Eukaryota; Metazoa; Chordata; Actinopteri; Cyprinodontiformes; Goodeidae. The transcript is spliced from 4 exons.
UUGUGGAGGAACACAUCAGUCUUACUACUGGCCUCCUAUGAGGGGAAUCACACUGUAUGACUUCCAGAACCCUUUGGUAGUAAUUAAUGGCGCCCUCAUGGCACAGCUCAAUUUCAACAAGACAGUCCCCGUCCGAACACUAUGUGUGUUUCUGCUACAUGUCGGGUAUUACCUUUGUAUACCAAACGGUCUUUAAUCAAACGUGUGAUCAGUGCUUAUCUGUUGAACUUCAGCUAAGGUACAACAGCGGCAGGCAGAUUGACCAUACUGCUGUAUGACUGUGGCCAGAUUGGACCCCACACCCUACUGGAACAGGUUGGUGCUGGAAGUUCUCGGGUACUCUGGGUGAUAGGUGCGACGUAUCUGCUGAUUGCAUGGAGGAGUACUUAAGCGGGAGGCAGCACUGCCAGUACUUCGAUGCCAGAGUGUUUGCCUUAGUGGUUUCAAACCUAAGGCUUUGUUUACCUUGCUGAGGCUAAACUACGCUCCAGAGGUUUCUGGGGAAUUAAGAUUAUGGUCUACUGGAAAUUGGAUGUACGUUUUUGUGGACUUCGUUCCCAACCACCUGUACUUUUCGGACACGGACCAAGCUGGCGGCUUCCCACUUUCUCCUACUUCAGGACCAAGGCAUAAGCAUACCCUGUUCCACCCUCCAACACAAGUACCUGCACCUGAACUAUCUCUGGUUCACACCCAGUCCUCUCAGACAGGACCAGAGAUAACAGCUGAGCAACUUCUACCUCGCAAGCCAAGACCCUGAAUCCCUCUACCCCUGGUGGUUCAAGCAGCAACAAUUUAUUGGCAUUUCCCGUCCUCGUUCCAGAUUACUUUGCUGACAAUAAAAACACCUUACAUUUUGUUCCUACUUCUGGGUGUUUUUCUGUAUGUGGGUCAAAG